CCUACGGGAGGCAGCAGUGGGGAAUAUUGGGCAAUGGAGGAAACUCUGACCCAGCAACGCCGCGUGAAUGAUGAAGGUCUUCGGAUUGUAAAGUUCUUUUCUACGGGAAGAAAAAAGUGACGGUACCUUAGGAAUAAGCCUCGGCUAACUACGUGCCAGCAGCCGCGGUAAUACGUAGGAGGCAAGCGUUAUCCGGAAUGACUGGGCGUAAAGGGUGCGUAGGUGGUUCAGCAAGUUAGUAGCGUAAUUCCGGAGCUCAACUUCGGCACUACUACUAAAACUGUUGGACUUGAGUGCAGGAGGGGCAACUGGAAUGUCUAGUGUAGCGGUGGAAUGCGUAGAUAUUAGGAAGAACACCGGUGGCGAAGGCGAGUUGCUGGACUGUAACUGACACUGAGGCACGAAAGCGUGGGGAGCAAACAGGAUUAGAUACCCCUGUAGUC
RNAcentral lists this ribosomal RNA (443 nucleotides) under uncultured bacterium. Its description in RNAcentral is "partial 16S ribosomal RNA". It matches the Rfam family "Bacterial small subunit ribosomal RNA", at positions 338 to 795 of the family's 1533-position model. The record is from RNAcentral.